RNAcentral lists this ribosomal RNA (253 nucleotides) under uncultured prokaryote. RNAcentral describes it as "partial 16S ribosomal RNA". It matches the Rfam family "Bacterial small subunit ribosomal RNA", at positions 525 to 777 of the family's 1533-position model. The record is from RNAcentral.
ACAGAGGCCUCGAGCGUUGUUCGGAUUCAUUGGGCGUAAAGCGCGCGUAGGCGGAUCUGCAAGUCGGGGGUGAAAUCCCGAGGCUCAACCUCGGAACUGCCUUCGAUACUGCGGGUCUCGAGUCCGGGAGAGGUGAGUGGAAUUCCUAGUGUAGAGGUGAAAUUCGUAGAUAUUAGGAAGAACACCAGUGGCGAAGGCGGCUCACUGGCCCGGUACUGACGCUGAGGCGCGAAAGCGUGGGGAGCAAACAGGA